CCGAGACUACACAUGCGAAUUGCCUAGGAUGGGCAGCUAGAGAUCCAUCAGGGGUUCUAUCGCCUUAUGAAUUUAAUCGCAGGGCUGUUGCAGCGGAUGAUGUAUCAAUUAAAAUUACACAUUGUGGAGUGUGUUAUGCGGAUGUGGUUUGGACAAAGAACCUUCAUAGAGACUCCAAAUAUCCUGUGGUGCCUGGCCAUGAGAUAGUUGGAAUAGUGAAAGAGGUUGGGCAGAAUGUUGAUCGUUUCAAAGUUGGG
Molecule: long non-coding RNA, 257 nt
Organism: Chenopodium quinoa (quinoa)
Lineage: Eukaryota; Viridiplantae; Streptophyta; Magnoliopsida; Caryophyllales; Amaranthaceae
Exons: 3
Source: RefSeq, a predicted model, not a curated record